ACUGGGGGCAGUGGUGAGUGCCUGAGGUCCUAGCUCCUUGGGAGGCUGAGGCAGGAGGAUUGCUUGAGCCCAGGAGUUUAAGACAAACCUGGGCAACAUUGUCAGGACCCCAUCUCAA
This 118-nucleotide small RNA is filed under the name Marmota monax (woodchuck). The record is from RNAcentral. Lineage: Eukaryota; Metazoa; Chordata; Mammalia; Rodentia; Sciuridae.